Molecule: ribosomal RNA, 508 nt
Filed under: uncultured bacterium
Lineage: Bacteria
Description: bacterial SSU rRNA
Rfam family: Bacterial small subunit ribosomal RNA
Source: RNAcentral
GGCUUAGGAUGAACGCUAGCGACAGGCUUAACACAUGCAAGUCGAGGGGUAACAGGGUAGCAAUACCGCUGACGACCGGCGCACGGGUGAGUAACGCGUAUGCAACCUGCCUAGUAACUGGGGGAAUAGCUCCCUGAAAGGGGAAUUAACACCGCAUAACACUAUUGAUUCGCAUGGAUUAGUAGUUAAAUGUAGCGAUACAGGUUAUAGAUGGGCAUGCGUGACAUUAGCUAGUUGGUGAGGUAACGGCUCACCAAGGCUACGAUGUCUAGGGGUUCUGAGAGGAAGGUCCCCCCACACUGGUACUGAGACACGGACCAGACUCCUACGGGAGGCAGCAGUGAGGAAUAUUGGUCAAUGGGCGCAAGCCUGAACCAGCCAUGUCGCGUGCAGGAAGACUCGCCCUAUGGGUUGUAAACUGCUUUUAUAGUAGAAGAAACACAUCUACGUGUAGAUGUCUGCCAGUAUACUAUGAAUAAGCAUCGGCUAACUCCGUGCCAGCAGCCGC